AGAAUUACAGAAACGGGGUAUAGCAAGGUAUAUUUAUUUUAUAAGGUAGUGUUAAGGGCGAAUUCAAAAAAACUUGGGCGAAUCGAAAUACAACACUGUACAGUAUUUGUUUUUGUUUAGGCGAAUUCUGGUGUAGGCACAAUGUCAAAAACAGCUGAUUUAUAAUAUGAGGCGAAUUUGUAAAAAUUAAAAAAAAAAGUUGUUUGUAAAUAAAAGAUUUUUUGAAAUAUAAUAAAAUUGUUAAAAUUCUUCGAACACUCUUCGGUCUAGACAAGAAAAUGCUAAAAUAACGUUUGUCGGCUGAUCAGUGGAAGGCUUGUUUGGCAGACCUCACUCCAUUUUUCUCUUUUUUUAAUGUCUUUGGGCACAUUAAAAAAUGUCCCACCUCCAGCCUCCACUUUCUUCCCACAUAUUUUGCAACAACGCAUUGUUUUUUUUUUAAUUUCACAAUAAUAACACUUUUAUCACUCACAA
Molecule: long non-coding RNA, 474 nt
Organism: Lucilia sericata (common green bottle fly)
Lineage: Eukaryota; Metazoa; Arthropoda; Insecta; Diptera; Calliphoridae
Exons: 2
Source: RefSeq, a predicted model, not a curated record